UUUAAGUCCCCUGCCCUUUGUACACACCGCCCGUCGCUACUACCGAUUGAAUGGUUUGGUGAGGCUUCCGGAUUGGUCCAGGCACGAGGGCAACCUUGAGCUGGGACCGAAAAGCUAGUCAAACCUAAUCAUUUAGAGGAAGUAAAAGUCGUAACAAGGUUUCCGUAGGUGAACCUGCGGAAGGAUCAUUA
RNAcentral lists this ribosomal RNA (191 nucleotides) under Isabelozyma heimii. Its description in RNAcentral is "Hyphopichia heimii partial 18S ribosomal RNA". It matches the Rfam family "Eukaryotic small subunit ribosomal RNA", at positions 1644 to 1831 of the family's 1831-position model. Lineage: Eukaryota; Fungi; Ascomycota; Pichiomycetes; Serinales; Metschnikowiaceae. The record is from RNAcentral.